AUUAAAAAAAUCCCACAGAGAAAAAAAGCCUCUGUGGGGUUAAUGCACGCAAGGUGCAUCAACGAAAUGGGAGAGGAGAAACCGGAGGAAGAGCUUAUGGGGAAACGUAAGUCUUCUCCGCGG
Non-coding RNA from Tepidibacillus sp., 123 nucleotides. NCBI's taxonomy places the organism in Bacteria, Bacillati, Bacillota, Bacilli, Caryophanales, Bacillaceae. The record is from Rfam.